Molecule: non-coding RNA, 57 nt
Organism: Alteromonas macleodii
Lineage: Bacteria; Pseudomonadati; Pseudomonadota; Gammaproteobacteria; Alteromonadales; Alteromonadaceae
Source: Rfam
CAUAGUCAGAUUAUUGCCUGAGACGGCAAGGCUGGUGGUUUUUUAAACCACCAGCCU